Molecule: ribosomal RNA, 2300 nt
Filed under: Staphylococcus hominis
Lineage: Bacteria; Bacillati; Bacillota; Bacilli; Caryophanales; Staphylococcaceae
Description: partial 23S ribosomal RNA
Rfam family: Bacterial large subunit ribosomal RNA
Source: RNAcentral
CACAAGUUAUGUUGUGUUAUCGACAAGUGAAUUCAUAGCUUGUCAGAAGGCAGACCCGGAGAACUGAAACAUCUUAGUACCCGGAGGAAGAGAAAGAAAAUUCGAUUCCCUGAGUAGCGGCGAGCGAAACGGGAAGAGCCCAAACCAAUAAGCUUGCUUAUUGGGGUUGUAGGACACUCUAUACGGAGUUACAAAGGAAUAUAUUAAACGAAUCAUCUGGAAAGUUGAAUCAAAGAAGGUAAUAAUCCUGUAGUUGAAAAUAUAUUCUCUCUUGAGUGGAUCCUGAGUACGACGGAGCACGUGAAAUUCCGUCGGAAUCUGGGAGGACCAUCUCCUAAGGCUAAAUACUCUCUAGUGACCGAUAGUGAACCAGUACCGUGAGGGAAAGGUGAAAAGUACCCCGGAAGGGGAGUGAAAGAGAACUUGAAACCGUGUGCUUACAAGUAGUCAGAGCCCGUUAAUGGGUGAUGGCGUGCCUUUUGUAGAAUGAACCGGCGAGUUACGAUCUGAUGCAAGGUUAAGCAGAAAAUGUGGAGCCGUAGCGAAAGCGAGUCUGAAUAGGGCGUAUAGUAUUUGGUCGUAGACCCGAAACCAGGUGAUCUACCCAUGGUCAGGUUGAAGUUCAGGUAACACUGAAUGGAGGACCGAACCGACUUACGUUGAAAAGUGAGCGGAUGAACUGUGGGUAGCGGAGAAAUUCCAAUCGAACUUGGAGAUAGCUGGUUCUCUCCGAAAUAGCUUUAGGGCUAGCCUCAAGUGAUGAUUAUUGGAGGUAGAGCACUGUUUGGACGAGGGGCCCCUCUCGGGUUACCGAAUUCAGACAAACUCCGAAUGCCAAUUAAUUUAACUUGGGAGUCAGAACAUGGGUGAUAAGGUCCGUGUUCGAAAGGGAAACAGCCCAGACCACCAGCUAAGGUCCCAAAAUAUAUGUUAAGUGGAAAAGGAUGUGGCGUUGCCCAGACAACUAGGAUGUUGGCUUAGAAGCAGCCAUCAUUUAAAGAGUGCGUAAUAGCUCACUAGUCGAGUGACACUGCGCCGAAAAUGUACCGGGGCUAAACAUAUUACCGAAGCUGUGGAUUGUCCUUUGGACAAUGGUAGGAGAGCGUUCUAAGGGCGUUGAAGCAUGAUCGCAAGGACAUGUGGAGCGCUUAGAAGUGAGAAUGCCGGUGUGAGUAGCGAAAGACGGGUGAGAAUCCCGUCCACCGAUUGACUAAGGUUUCCAGAGGAAGGCUCGUCCGCUCUGGGUUAGUCGGGUCCUAAGCUGAGGCCGACAGGCGUAGGCGAUGGAUAACAGGUUGAUAUUCCUGUACCACCUAUAAUCGUUUUAAUCGAUGGGGGGACGCAGUAGGAUAGGCGAAGCGUACGAUUGGAUUGUACGUCUAAGCAGUGAGAUUGAGUGUUAGGCAAAUCCGGCACUCUUAAGAUUGAGCUGUGAUGGGGAGAGGAAAUUGUUUCCUCGAGUCGUUGAUUUCACACUGCCGAGAAAAGCCUCUAGAUAGAGAUUAGGUGCCCGUACCGCAAACCGACACAGGUAGUCAAGAUGAGAAUUCUAAGGUGAGCGAGCGAACUCUCGUUAAGGAACUCGGCAAAAUGACCCCGUAACUUCGGGAGAAGGGGUGCUCUUUAGGGUGCAAGCCCAGAAGAGCCGCAGUGAAUAGGCCCAAGCGACUGUUUAUCAAAAACACAGGUCUCUGCUAAACCGUAAGGUGAUGUAUAGGGGCUGACGCCUGCCCGGUGCUGGAAGGUUAAGAGGAGUGGUUAGCUUCUGCGAAGCUACGAAUCGAAGCCCCAGUAAACGGCGGCCGUAACUAUAACGGUCCUAAGGUAGCGAAAUUCCUUGUCGGGUAAGUUCCGACCCGCACGAAAGGCGUAACGAUUUGGGCACUGUCUCAACGAGAGACUCGGUGAAAUCAUAGUACCUGUGAAGAUGCAGGUUACCCGCGACAGGACGGAAAGACCCCGUGGAGCUUUACUGUAGCCUGAUAUUGAAAUUCGGCACAGCUUGUACAGGAUAGGUAGGAGCCUUUGAAACGUGAGCGCUAGCUUACGUGGAGGCGUUGGUGGGAUACUACCCUAGCUGUGUUGGCUUUCUAACCCGCACCACUUAUCGUGGUGGGAGACAGUGUCAGGCGGGCAGUUUGACUGGGGCGGUCGCCUCCUAAAAGGUAACGGAGGCGCUCAAAGGUUCCCUCAGAAUGGUUGGAAAUCAUUCAUAGAGUGUAAAGGCAUAAGGGAGCUUGACUGCGAGACCUACAAGUCGAGCAGGGUCGAAAGACGGACUUAGUGAUCCGGUGGUUCCG